CAAGCUUAGCAGAGAAUGGGGGUGGGGAGUUAUCUGGAUCUGUAACUGCAUGGUGCUAGAGAGAAUAAGCCUCCAGGAACAAGACUCCCAGUUCCUGCAGGUGGAGAUAAGAUAGCAGCUGGAAAGUAUCCCUGGGAGUAUCUGACAACAUUGCUUCAUCCUACCAGAAACAGCCCUGUCCAUGCAAAAGUCAGACUGAGAAGCUCACAGGCUUGAUUCCUGGGUGGGAAGGAAAGCAAUCUCAGCAGCAUCUCCAGCCUCAUCACACCAUGAUGCAAAGAGCAGGAAUUAUGGGAACUAUCAGCAGCAUGCUCCAGAGCUCAAGGAAACAGAUGAGUUGAAGUGUGCUUUGAAGAGAUCAUUCCCUAAAAAGAAAAAAAAGGGACAGAAGGAGGAGAUGAGAAGAGAAAAAACAAAGCAGAAGGAGAAAUAAAG
Rhineura floridana is the source of this 435-nucleotide long non-coding RNA. RefSeq lists it as uncharacterized. The transcript has 3 exons. The record is from RefSeq and is a predicted model, not a curated record. Lineage: Eukaryota; Metazoa; Chordata; Lepidosauria; Squamata; Rhineuridae.